This 1210-nucleotide ribosomal RNA is filed under the name Ceutorhynchus filiae. Its description in RNAcentral is "partial 16S ribosomal RNA". The stretch from base 1056 to 1210 matches the Rfam family "Archaeal large subunit ribosomal RNA", at positions 2544 to 2698 of the family's 2987-position model. Lineage: Eukaryota; Metazoa; Arthropoda; Insecta; Coleoptera; Curculionidae. The record is from RNAcentral.
UAAUUUAUUUAUUAUUAAUUAGUAAGAAUUUUUUUGGGAAUAAAAAAAGUAAUUUUUAUUUUAUUAAUAAGUAUGAAUAAAUUAAUUUAAUUAUAGUGAAUUAGUAUUGAAAAAGAUUUAAUUUAUUUUAUUUAAAGAAAAAUUUAAUUUUUGUACCUUGUGUAUCAGGGUUUAUUAAUUAAAUUUUAUUAAUUUUAAAUUUCUCGAACUUAAAAGAUCUAUGUUGAUAUAAUUUUUAUUGUGUAAUAAAUAUUAUCCAUAUCAGUAUAGAAGUGAAACAUUAUUCGAUUUUAAAUAUAUCUAGUUUUUAAAGAAAAAAAUUUAAUUUUAUUUUUAUUUAAUAUUUAAUUUUAAUUAAUAAAUUAAUAUUAGUAAAAUUUUAUAUUUCAGGGGAUGAGCUUUGAAAUAAAUCAAUAUAAAUUAUGUUUUAGCAUUUAGUAAGUAGAAUUAUAAGUUUUUAUCUUUAAUAGUGUUUUAUAACUAUUUAAUUAAAAAAUAUUAUUUAUAUAACAUACACAUUUUAUAUGUUUUAUUUAAAUAUAAGUUUUAAUAUUAGAAAUUUAGUAAUAAUGAUAAAAUUAGUAUAAUAAUUAAUUUGUUUAUUUAAUUUAAAUAUUUUAGGUUUUAUAAAAGAAUUCGGCAAAUAUAUUUUUCACCUGUUUAUCAAAAACAUGGCCUUUUGAUUUUAAUUUAAGGUCUAACCUGCUCAAUGAGUUUUAAAUAGCCGCAGUAUCUUAACUGUGCAAAGGUAGCAUAAUCAUUAGUUUUUUAAUUGAAAGCUGGAAUGAAAGGUUGAAUGAGAAAAUAUCUGUUUCUAUAAAAAUUAAAUAGAAUUUUAUUUUUAAGUAAAAAAGCUUAAAUGAUAAUAAAAGACGAGAAGACCCUGUAGAGUUUUAUAUUUUUAAAUUAUAUUUUCUUUUAGUAUUUUAAAAUUUAUUUUUUUAUAGUAUUUAGUUGGGGUGAUUGGAAAAUUAAAUAAACUUUUCUUUAAAAUUUACAUUUAUAUAUGAUAUUAUGAUCCUUUAAUAAAGAUUACAAGAUAAAAUUACCUUAGGGAUAACAGCGUAAUUUUUUUUGAGAGUUCUUAUCGAAAAAAAAGAUUGCGACCUCGAUGUUGGAUUAAAAUAAAUUUUUGGUGUAGGAGCUAAAAAAAUUAGGUCUGUUCGACCUUUAAAAUUUUACAUGAUCUGAGUUCAAACCGGUGUAAGCC